Molecule: non-coding RNA, 253 nt
Organism: Pelobates cultripes (western spadefoot toad)
Lineage: Eukaryota; Metazoa; Chordata; Amphibia; Anura; Pelobatidae
Source: the annotation of a GenBank genome assembly
GUAGGACCUGGUACAAGAAAAUUGCAAUUUACAUAACCCAGAUUGCAAUUUUCAAUGCCUAUGUGCUUUAUAAAAAGGAAGCCAUAGGUAGACCAUGCCCAUUUCUAGAGUUUAUGGUCCAAAUUUUGUCUCAAAUUAUAUUUGCCCAGACCCCAAAUCCUAACCCUCCUUUGGAAUCAGAAGAUGUCCAACGACUUUUCAGCAAACAUUUCCCUUCCCGAAUCCCCCCACACCCUGUAAAAGGUCACCCCAA